GCAGACAAACAAGAGGUUGUGUGAAAAGUCCAAGAAAGAGGCUAUGCACAAGGACUGUGGGAUCCAGAGAGAUCUCACCGUAACCGUUUGUCUGGAGCUGCAAGACAGACAAACAUGAUAAGUAUCUGUGAUUAAAAGAUUACAACAAGAUAACUGUCUGUCUACUCUCUACUUUGAUGUAAACCAGCAAAUUCACACCCGCAUUAAAUCUCCUAUGAGGAAGACAAAACGAUUGCGUUUAUACAUCAUGUGAACAAUCUAGCCCAUUUUGAACAAAUUGUGCAUACUCUGCAGUGUAUACGUGACCAUUUGUACUCUUUUUAGCAGCAUUAAAAAUAGGCUAAAACUUUAUUAAAAUUGUGAAUUGAUGAAAUAGGCCUACAGAGCCUGAGCAGUAAGCGCUCCCUUUAAUAGUCUAAUCACUAUAGCUGUCAAUCAUUGGCAGCGCAGUUGGCUACAAUGCUCAGUGCUGCAAAUCGCGCUGUAAUUAGAAGCCUUUAACGGUCUUCAGACAGAGCGUGGACACAAGCAGGGACAGUUUGAAAGCAGCUGCCUAUCAGCGUGUACCGAAAGUCGAAAGAGUCUUUCUUGACUAUUGGACACACAACCAGCCCGUGCCUGUCACCCAUUCGACCCGCACCGCACCUGACAACAAAUAUUAGUGGUUCAACCGGCGCUGUAUCCUCUAAUAUUUUAUCUAGAGCUAAAACGCCCUUAUACAAGACAUUCCACUCCUUGUGUCUCUCCAGCUAAAGAUGCAAAGCACUACAACAUGGGCGAUGUAGUUAUUUUAACAACAGUAAGUUAGCAGAGACAGAUGAGCAUCAAAAAAAA
Molecule: long non-coding RNA, 834 nt
Organism: Sinocyclocheilus anshuiensis
Lineage: Eukaryota; Metazoa; Chordata; Actinopteri; Cypriniformes; Cyprinidae
Exons: 2
Source: RefSeq, a predicted model, not a curated record